UCCAUACUCCCAAGUUAGUGAUAAGCUAUCCUAAGCUAUGUUAGCAUGAAAGUAAAUAAAGGUUAUACUAUUAGUAAAAGGUACCGCAUGGAAGUGUUAGAAUGGGUAGUACUAAUAAUAGUAAUAGUAAUAAUAAUACUAAUAGAAAAGAGAAAGAAAUUAAAAACAAACAUAGAGUGAAAAUAAUAAAAAUGAAAACAACUAAAAAGAAAAGAUAAAAAUUAAAGGUCGUGAUUGUCGUUCCACGUAGCGCUUC
This 256-nucleotide long non-coding RNA is filed under the name Lathyrus oleraceus (garden pea). Its description in RNAcentral is "Pisum sativum (pea) long non-coding RNA (PSAT_LNC026722)". Lineage: Eukaryota; Viridiplantae; Streptophyta; Magnoliopsida; Fabales; Fabaceae. The record is from RNAcentral.